CAGCUAUAUUACGCCGAAACACCUGUUCUCAUUCGAUCUCCGAAGUUAAGCAACGUCGAGCCUUGUCAGUACAUAUAGGGGUGAUAGCUUGGAAAUAUCAGGUGUUGUAAG
Molecule: non-coding RNA, 111 nt
Organism: Acanthosepion pharaonis
Lineage: Eukaryota; Metazoa; Mollusca; Cephalopoda; Sepiida; Sepiidae
Source: the annotation of a GenBank genome assembly